AGCGAACGCUGGCGGCAGGCCUAACACAUGCAAGUCGAACGAACCUUUCGGGGUUAGUGGCGGACGGGUGAGUAACACGUGGGAACGUGCCUUUAGGUUCGGAAUAACUCAGGGAAACUUGUGCUAAUACCGAAUGUGCCCUUCGGGGGAAAGAUUUAUCGCCUUUAGAGCGGCCCGCGUCUGAUUAGCUAGUUGGUUGAGGUAAUGGCUCACCAAGGCGACGAUCAGUAGCUGGUCUGAGAGGAUGAUCAGCCACAUUGGGACUGAGACACGACCCAAACUCCUACGGGAGGCAGCAGUGGGGAAUCUUGCGCAAUGGGCGAAAGCCUGACGCAGCCAUGCCGCGUGAAUGAUGAAGGUCUUAGGAUUGUAAAAUUCUUUCACCGGGGACGAUAAUGACGGUACCCGGAGAAGAAGCCCCGGCUAACUUCGUG
This 434-nucleotide ribosomal RNA is filed under the name uncultured bacterium. RNAcentral's name for it is "partial 16S ribosomal RNA". It matches the Rfam family "Bacterial small subunit ribosomal RNA", at positions 29 to 507 of the family's 1533-position model. The record is from RNAcentral.